This 419-nucleotide ribosomal RNA is filed under the name bacterium. RNAcentral describes it as "partial 16S ribosomal RNA". It matches the Rfam family "Bacterial small subunit ribosomal RNA", at positions 355 to 776 of the family's 1533-position model. The record is from RNAcentral.
UGGGGGAUAUUGCACAAUGGGCGAAAGCCUGAUGCAGCGACGCCGCGUGGGGGAUGAAGGCCUUCGGGUUGUAAACUUCUUUUGCUCUGAACAAGGCAUGCUAAUGGGUGUGUUGAGUGUAGGGGUUGAUUAGCGCCGGCUAACUACGUGCCAGCAGCCGCGGUAAUACGUAGGGCGCGAGCGUUGUCCGGAAUUAUUGGGCGUAAAGGGCUUGUAGGUGGCUGGUUGCGUCUGUCGUGAAAGCUCAUGGCUUAACUGUGGGUGUGCGGUGGGUACGGGCUGGCUUGAGUGCAGUAGGGGAGGCUGGAAUUCCUGGUGUAGCGGUGGAAUGCGCAGAUAUCAGGAGGAAUACCGGUGGCGAAGGCGGGUCUCUGGGCUGUUACUCACACUGAGGAGCGAAAGCAUGGGGAGCGAACAGG